This 377-nucleotide ribosomal RNA is filed under the name uncultured bacterium. RNAcentral describes it as "bacterial SSU rRNA". It matches the Rfam family "Bacterial small subunit ribosomal RNA", at positions 521 to 896 of the family's 1533-position model. The record is from RNAcentral.
UAAUACGGAGGGGGCCAGCGUUGUUCGGAAUCAUUGGGCGUAAAGGGCGCGUAGGCGGCUUGGUAAGUCGGACGUGAAAUCCCCCAGCUUAACUGGGGAACUGCAUCCGAUACUGCCAGGCUUGAGUCCCGGAGAGGGCAGUGGAAUUCCCAGUGUAGCGGUGAAAUGCGUAGAUAUUGGGAGGAACACCGGUGGCGAAGGCGGCUGCCUGGACGGGUACUGACGCUGAGGCGCGAAAGCGUGGGGAGCAAACAGGAUUAGAUACCCUGGUAGUCCACGCUGUAAACGAUGGGCACUUGGUGUUGCGGGUAUCGACCCCUGCAGUGCCGAAGCUAACGCAUUAAGUGCCCCGCCUGGGGAGUACGGUCGCAAGGCUG